This 66-nucleotide microRNA precursor is filed under the name Podarcis lilfordi (Lilford's wall lizard). Lineage: Eukaryota; Metazoa; Chordata; Lepidosauria; Squamata; Lacertidae. The record is from RNAcentral.
UGUGUGUGUGUGUAUGUAUGUGUGUGUAUGUGUACACACACACACACACACACACACACACACACA